Molecule: long non-coding RNA, 898 nt
Organism: Pelmatolapia mariae (spotted tilapia)
Lineage: Eukaryota; Metazoa; Chordata; Actinopteri; Cichliformes; Cichlidae
Exons: 3
Source: RefSeq, a predicted model, not a curated record
ACCGAUCACACAGUUUGCUCCUCCCUCUUCUUCUUAACCAGCACGAGCCAGUAUGAACUGGAGCUGAACUCACCAGUGUGCGGAGACUAUCUUAUAAUAUCUAUAACUGUGUCCAGAAAUACAUCACAGCUGAGUCUGGACAGAACGUCACACUGACGUGUCGAGCUCCAAUCAACCGCAAGAACUACACAGUAGAGUGGCGCAGAGCUGACCUGAAGACACCGUAUGUCCUUGCUCACUGCAACAGGCACUUUGUUCCAGAGCAGCAUCCAUCUUUUAAGAACCAGCUGGAUUUGCAGGACAGACAGAUGAAGGAUGGAGACGUGUCUUUGAUUCUGAAGGAUGUGACGAUUGCUGAUAGCGGAACAUACGAGUGUCGGGUCUUCGUGAGAAGAAAGAACCCGAGGAAGACUAAGCGCAUCACCACCAUCAGGUUAAGUGUUUCUCCAGGUCAGACAGGAGGAGACACAGAGGAUGGAGGGAAGGAGGAUGGAGGGAAGGAGGCUGGGGGACACGGAGAGGAUAGAUCUGUUGGACUGAAAGUCGAUCUGUCUAUUUGUUCUGUGCGUCGUUAUUGUGGUGUUGUUUUCUUGAAAACAUGAACAACAACUGUCAGGUUUAUAUUUUGAUUGUCAUUUAUGCUUAGAAGUAUUUACUCAUAUAUGCUUAGAGUUUAUAGUCAAUGUAAUAUUGAUAGGAUGUGUGAUCCUUAGUAGUCUACACACACCUACUCACGCACACACGGUACUCUUUGUUCACAUGUGUACCUAUGUAAGACGUCAUGUGUUAAUGAAUCUAUGCAUAUUCAUGUAACCUCAAUAAAAGAUCAGUGUUACGAGGGAGCGGACGACAGCAACUGAGGUCAGGAGAAGGAACUGCGUUUGUCCAGUUGGUCUCC